UGCGUAGGCGGAAUGAUAAGUCAGUGGUGAAAUCCUACAGCUUAACUGUAGAACUGCCAUUGAUACUGUUGUUCUUGAGUACAUUUGAAGUGGGCGGAAUGUGUCAUGUAGCGGUGAAAUGCAUAGAGAUGACACAGAACACCGAUCGCGAAGGCAGCUCACUAAACUGUAACUGACGCUGAGGCACGAAAGCGUGGGGAGCAAACAGGAUUAGAUACCCUGGUAGUC
This 228-nucleotide ribosomal RNA is filed under the name uncultured bacterium. RNAcentral describes it as "partial 16S ribosomal RNA". It matches the Rfam family "Bacterial small subunit ribosomal RNA", at positions 568 to 795 of the family's 1533-position model. The record is from RNAcentral.